Molecule: ribosomal RNA, 115 nt
Filed under: Pelodiscus sinensis (Chinese soft-shelled turtle)
Lineage: Eukaryota; Metazoa; Chordata; Testudines; Trionychidae
Source: RNAcentral
AUCUGAAGUCACAUGGCUUUGGUUUGUGAUCUCAUUAGCUCACAUAAAUGAAAGAGGCUUGAGCCAGGACAGUACUUAGGUGAGUCCUCCAGGGAAAACUCACAUGCUGCAGGAC